Molecule: ribosomal RNA, 681 nt
Filed under: Metabacillus niabensis
Lineage: Bacteria; Bacillati; Bacillota; Bacilli; Caryophanales; Bacillaceae
Description: bacterial SSU rRNA
Rfam family: Bacterial small subunit ribosomal RNA
Source: RNAcentral
GGGAGCUUGCUCCCAAAGAUUAGCGGCGGACGGGUGAGUAACACGUGGGUAACCUGCCUGUAAGAUUGGGAUAACUCCGGGAAACCGGAGCUAAUACCGGAUAACAUUUCGAACCGCAUGGUUCGAAAUUGAAAGAUGGUUUCGGCUAUCACUUACAGAUGGACCCGCGGCGCAUUAGCUAGUUGGUGAGGUAACGGCUCACCAAGGCAACGAUGCGUAGCCGACCUGAGAGGGUGAUCGGCCACACUGGGACUGAGACCCGGCCCAGACUCCUACGGGAGGCAGCAGUAGGGAAUCUUCCGCAAUGGACGAAAGUCUGACGGAGCAACGCCGCGUGAACGAUGAAGGCCUUCGGGUCGUAAAGUUCUGUUGUUAGGGAAGAACAAGUACCAGAGUAACUGCUGGUACCUUGACGGUACCUAACCAGAAAGCCACGGCUAACUACGUGCCAGCAGCCGCGGUAAUACGUAGGUGGCAAGCGUUGUCCGGAAUUAUUGGGCGUAAAGCGCGCGCAGGCGGUUUCUUAAGUCUGAUGUGAAAGCCCACGGCUCAACCGUGGAGGGUCAUUGGAAACUGGGGAACUUGAGUGCAGAAGAGGAGAGUGGAAUUCCACGUGUAGCGGUGAAAUGCGUAGAGAUGUGGAGGAACACCAGUGGCGAANGCGACUCUCUGGUCUGUAAC